Molecule: long non-coding RNA, 1006 nt
Organism: Alligator mississippiensis (American alligator)
Lineage: Eukaryota; Metazoa; Chordata; Crocodylia; Alligatoridae
Exons: 2
Source: RefSeq, a predicted model, not a curated record
CUCCGGCUAGUGUGCGCCUUUGCGAGCACAGGGCGAAUACGCAUGCGCAUUGACAGGGCGCCGGCAGCGGAGCCUGAGCGUUCGCCUGGGUUGGUCCCCUGGUGCAGUAAAGCAGUGCUGAACCCACCAGUACAGCCACAAGUCUGUUCUUUUGAGCAGAUAUGUUUGAAAAGAAGAGCAGAGUUUGCUGAUCUUGUCGGAAUGGAGUUAAAAUUAUCAUGCUGGAAGGCCCUUAAAUGUUGCAACUAGAGAAAAUUCAACCAGCUUUUAAGGGACACAAAAGCACAACUCCUCCGGCAGCUGCAAGGAUUGGAACUGUUCCUUUGCUCCUGGUCUAACCUGACUAUAGAGCUUUGUGUCCCUAAGCAAUUUAAUAGGACUAGAAAGCAGCAAUCAAUUUUGGCUUCCUCUUUGACAAAGAAGUUGGUCUUGCAUAUUUUUCUUUGCUUUCGCAUCGAAUGCCAGAGAACAGAGAAAGGGUCCGGCUGUUGCGCGAGUACACGUUCUAUGCCUGGAAAUGCAUCUUCCAUCUCAAUGCCUACUUUCUUUCUCUGGCCUUUAAAUAAUUUCUUGUAUUCUGCCUUCAUUCGACUGCAAGUUUCCGAAUAUGUUAGACACCUGCAGAUCUUGAAUCUCUUUCAGAGCUCCUGGUAAACAAGGGAAUUUGUUCCAGUGAAAAGUGGACUGAUUCAUUUCCCCAGCCUCCAGGCAUAAUCCUGGCAUUUUGGACACAUGAAUACAAUGGCAGCUUGCCACCUGCUUCAUUUAUUCACUUGACAUUCAGUGCUCCUCAGUCCUUACAAAUGGGCUCUUUGUGCAACCUUCUGUGGUAAUGUAAAAGGUCCCCUGCAGGAAUUUGUGUGUAUGUCUAUUCUGUAGGAAAUAUAAAAGAGAGGGUUGUAAAUACUCUUGAUUGCUUUUGAGCAUAGAUAUGUUGUCUUUACAAUGUAUUAUGUAACUAUGCAACUCCCAUAAAUCCCUUUUUAUCCCAUGGAGGCUAUCUUAA